GAGUUUGAUCAUGGCUCAGGAUGAACGCUAGCGGCAGGCCUAACACAUGCAAGUCGAGGGGUAACAGGAGAGAGCUUGCUCUUUUGCUGACGACCGGCGCACGGGUGCGUAACGCGUAUACAAUCUGCCUUAUACAGGAGGAUAGCCUUUAGAAAUGAAGAUUAAUACUCCAUAGUCUAUUAAUAUAGCAUUAUAUAAAUAGUAAAGCUACGGCGGUAUAAGAUGAGUAUGCGUCCUAUUAGUUAGUUGGUAAGGUAACGGCUUACCAAGGCGACGAUAGGUAGGGGCCCUGAGAGGGGGAUCCCCCACACUGGUACUGAGACACGGACCAGACUCCUACGGGAGGCAGCAGUGAGGAAUAUUGGACAAUGGGCGAGAGCCUGAUCCAGCCAUGCCGCGUGCAGGAAGACGGCCCUAUGGGUUGUAAACUGCUUUUAUAUAGGAAGAAACCAUCUCCCGUGAGAGAUAUUGACGGUACUAUAAGAAUAAGGACCGGCUAACUCCGUGCCAGCAGCCGCGGUAAUACGGAGGGUCCGAGCGUUAUCCGGAAUCAUUGGGUUUAAAGGGUCCGUAGGCGGGAAUCUAAGUCAGUGGUGAAAUCUUGCAGCUCAACUGUAAAAUUGCCAUUGAUACUGGAUUUCUUGAAUUAGUGUGAAGUGGUUAGAAUGUGUAGUGUAGCGGUGAAAUGCAUAGAUAUUACACAGAAUACCAAUUGCGAAGGCAGAUCACUAACACUAUAUUGACGCUGAGGGACGAAAGCGUGGGGAGCGAACAGGAUUAGAUACCCUGGUAGUCCACGCCGUAAACGAUGGAUACUAGCUGUUCGGUCUUCGGAUUGAGUGGCUAAGCGAAAGUGAUAAGUAUCCCACCUGGGGAGUACGUUCGCAAGAAUGAAACUCAAAGGAAUUGACGGGGG
This 916-nucleotide ribosomal RNA is filed under the name uncultured Bacteroidota bacterium. RNAcentral describes it as "bacterial SSU rRNA". It matches the Rfam family "Bacterial small subunit ribosomal RNA", at positions 9 to 919 of the family's 1533-position model. The record is from RNAcentral. Lineage: Bacteria; Pseudomonadati; Bacteroidota.